Long non-coding RNA from Pan troglodytes (chimpanzee), 795 nucleotides. RefSeq lists it as uncharacterized. Lineage: Eukaryota; Metazoa; Chordata; Mammalia; Primates; Hominidae. The transcript is spliced from 4 exons. The record is from RefSeq and is a predicted model, not a curated record.
CUGCUCAGUGUGGUGCGGGCCUUCUCUGGGGCCCUGGAGUUCCCACUGACCUUCAGCCCCGCCAGUUGCAUCUGCUGUUCCCACUGCAGACUCUCAUGCUAGUCAGUUCCUGCCUGGGGUCACCAGACUGCUUCGAAGUCAGGAAGAACAUGGUGGGGACGGUGACUUGAGUUUCCUGGACCACAGUGCAGCUGUUCCCUUCUUCCCUCUGUCCUUGCUCAGCACGGUCACAACGACUCUCCAAAUCAUGAUGCUCAAAACGCCACAUCUAAAAAGAACAUCCGGAACAGGAGACGCACAGUUCCAACAGUUAUUGUAUACAUCACUGACCAUAUUAACGACUCCACAAAAUCAAUCCUGGGUCCACCAAAUAUUGUGUUACCUGAAGACUAACUUAUAAAAUUAAACUUCAACAACAUGAAUAUACAACAAAUGAACAGAGAGAAAAGAUCAAAUUGGUGAGCAUAUAAUGUAAAUGUGUACGUAUUACAAAGAAAAAAUAUAGAAAGCUACUACCAUAUCUGUUUCUGUAAUUUGUCAUGAGGCCGUAAUACCAUUAAAAUUUUUAAAUUAAUUAAUUAAUUUUUCACCACACUUCUUCUGCUUUGUGGAUUCAGGCCGUGAUGGAUACAAUGACUUCUUCCUUUCAUUAUCCCCUCCAUAUUUCUCCUGCCCUCAUCAAGAACCUCAAUUCAUCUCAGGUCUUUGUAUUUUUGAGUGCCCUAAACCUCCAUUCCCAAAGGACUAAGUCCUCAAUCAUCCUGCCGUCUUUUAGGUUAGUACCUUUCCCUUAAA